AAGGCUGCUGAUUUCUCUGCUGGAUAGAAAGCUCCCAGCAAGGGAUUAACCUUUCUUAUCUGCAAAACAGGUUGUCAGGGGAACUGCUUCUCUGCUGUCCUCACAUUUCCCUGCAGAGUCUUCCACUGGAAUAAUACUUCUGUUCUCUCCCACCUCCCCUACUCAUCUGCAUGUGGCAGGGAGUGUGGCUUAUCUGGCAGGGGAGAAAGGAGAACGGUUAGGGCCCAUGCAUGGCUCAAAGGACCUUCUCUUCAUUUUUUCUGGAGAGUUUUCCUGUCGGCAUAGCCUGUGUUUUCUACUUCCAUGGGGUAAGGACCCAGAACUUCUCUUCUGGAGGUUAAGAGUCCCACUCUGACCCCAAACAGGCAGAGGGGAAAAGAGUAACGUUGGAGUUGAAAAGCCUGGCAGACACCACGUUCGACUGAGUGAUCAGAGUGAGCGCCGCCAGCCAUGAAACACACUGAAUCUGGAACAAUGGGCCUCAGCCGAAGAACCCAGAAGACAGAGGAAAAAGUUUUUCCUUCCCUAUAUGGGAGUGUGAGAGCCCAACUCUGCCUCAAGAGAGAAGAAAGUCUAAGGAGUUACUUGUGCUCCAGAGCUCCCUGGGAAUCAGACAGAGAGCCUAAUGGACCUGGAGGAAAAUAAAAACCCAACUCCAUUUCCCCCUAGCCACCCUGUCCUAGCUCAGGGAAAAACUGAGAAACUGAAUGAAGCUCACAGUCCAGGGCACAGGCUCAAGACAGACUGGGUCCUAAUCACAGGUCUACACACUGAGUCCUAAUCACAGGGCUAUGGAACCCUUCCCUUCCCCACACCUCACCAAAGGCCUAUUUGCCACCGUUUGUGACCCAGUGCAUCACAUCUGGCUAUCAACAAACAAUCACAAGGCAUAAAAAAAGGUAAAGACCACAGUCUGAAAAGACAGAGCAAAUGUCAGAACCAGACUCAGCUAUGGCACGGAUGUUGGAACUAUGAGACUGGGAAUUUAAAAUAACUAUGAUUCAUGUGCUAAGGGCUCUAAUGGAUAAAGUGGACAGUAAGCAAGAACAGAUGGGCAAUGUAAAUAGAGAGAUCAAAGUUCUGAGAAAGAAUAAAAGAGAAAUGCGAGAGAUCAAAAACACUAACAAAUGAAGGAUGCUUCUCACGGGCUCAUUAGUAGGCUGGGCACAGCUGAGAAAGACUCUCUGAGGCUGAGGAUAUCUCAAUAGAAACAUCCAAAACUGAAAAGCAAAGGAAAAAAAUGCUGAAUGAAAAAGGCAUAGAAUAUCCAAGGACUGUGGGAUAAUUAGAAAAGGUAUAUGUUUAAUAGGAAUACCAAAAGGAGAAGACAGAGAGAAAGGAACAGAUGGAAAGUUGGAAACAAUAAUGACUGAAAAUCAGACACCAAACCACAGAUCCAGGAACCUCAGAGAACACCAACCACGAUGAAUGUCAAAAUUAAGCCUAGCCAUAUCGUUUUCAAACUACAGAAAAAUCAGAUAGGGAAAAAAAUCCCAAAAGAUGCCAAAGGUGAAAAACACCUUACUUCCUUAGAGGAACAAAGGUAAGAAUUUCAUCUGACUUCAUGGAAACCAUGCAAGCAAGAAGACAGUGGAGUGAAAUAUUGAAUGUGUUGAGAAAAAAACUCCACCAAUCUAGCAUUCUAUACUCUGUGACAUUAUCCUCCAAGAGUAAAGGAGACUUAAAGGCUUUCUCAGACAAACAAAAAUUCAGGGAAUUUGUUGCUAGCAGAUCUGCCUUGUUAAAUGUUCAAAGAAGUUAUUCAAGGCAAUAAAAAUUGUUAUAGGUCAGAAGGUCAUAUCUACAUAACAAAAGAAAGAACAUCAGAGAAGAAAUAAGUGAAGGUAAAAUGAAAUUUUUAACUUGUUAUUCUUAAUCUAACAGAUCAAUUUGUUCAAAAUUAUUGUAGCCACAAUGUAUUAACAUAUAUACAAAUGUGCUACCGAGCCAUGAAAAGAUAUGAAGGAAACAAAUGCAUAUUACUAAGUAAAAGAAGCCAAUCUGAGAAAAGCUAUGUAAUAUAUAAUUCCCACCACAGGACUCACUGGAAAAGGUAAAACUAAGGAGGCAAUAAAAGGAUUAGUGGUUGUCCGGGGUUAGGGUGUGGGAGGGAUGAACAGGUAGAGCACAGAGGAUUUUUUAGGGCAGCGAUUCUUUAUGAUAUGACAAUGGUAGAUACAGCUCAGACAUUUGUCAAAACCCAUAGAAUGUGCAAAUGAAAAGUGAACCCUGAUGUGAACUAUGGACUUUGAGUGAUAAUGACGUGUCCAUGGAGGUUCUUUGACUGCAACAAACAUGCCACUUUGGUAGAGAAUGUCGAUCAAGGGGGAGGCUGUGCAUGUGUAGGGGCAGGGGGCAUAUGGAAAUCUCUGUACUUUCCACUUAAUUUUGCAGUGAACCUAAAACUGCUCUAAAAAGCAAAGUCUAUUAAAGGAAAUUCACAAUAACCUAAAACAGAUGUAGGCUAGAUUUGGCCAGAGGGCUACAGUUUGUCGAAUCUUGACUUAGAAUAAGUCCUUCGUUGAAGAAGUAAAAACAAUAACAAAAACCACCAACCAAAGUGUGUUCCACUUACUGCUGCUGCAUAAUAAAUCACCCCCAAACAACUCUUUGAUUUUGCAUAAUCGUGUGGGUCAGGAAUUUUGGAAGGGCAUCUGCUGGGCAGUUGUCGAUCACUGUAGUCAGAUAUUGGCUGGGGCUGCAGCCACCUGAGGGCACAAGGGCCAGACAUCCAUGAUGCUCACUCCCGUGGCCUGGCAGCGGAUGGUGACUCUUGUCUGGGGGCACAGCUAGGCAGUCUGCUGGAGCACCACAUGAGGCCUCUCCAGCAAGGAGUUUUCUCAAUGCUGCAUGCUGCCCCCACAGCAAGCAACCCAAGAAAACCGGGUGAAAGCUACAUGGCCUUUCCUUUUCUAGUGCUGAGAAGCCUCAGAGUAACUUCUUCCCCAUUCUUCUGGUUACAAGAGAAUCACGAGCCAGUCCCACGUCAAGGGGAGGGAAGGUAGACACCACCUCUGAUGGGAAGCAUGUCAAAGACACUGUGGCUAAUUUUUAAAAUAAAGCAAUGUUGA
Molecule: long non-coding RNA, 3071 nt
Organism: Pan troglodytes (chimpanzee)
Lineage: Eukaryota; Metazoa; Chordata; Mammalia; Primates; Hominidae
Exons: 4
Source: RefSeq, a predicted model, not a curated record